AUUGAACGCUGGCGGCAGGCUUAACACAUGCAAGUCGAACGAGUGGCGGACGGGUGAGUAAUUCUUGGGAAUCUCGCUUAUGGUGGGGGAUAACUACGGGAAACUGUAGCUAAUACCGCGUACCUUAGGCUGAGCCCAAGGGGGAUUCGGUAGUUGGUGAGGUAAAGGCUCACCCAACCGACUAUUUCUAGCUGGUCUGAGAGGAUGACCAGCCACACUGGCACUGAGACACGGCACAGACUCCUACGGGAGGCAGCAGUGGGGAAUAUUGCGCAAUGGUGGCAACCUGACGAAGCCAGGCCGCGUGAAUGAAGAAGGCUUUCGGGUUGUAAAGUUCUUUCGUUAGCGAGGCGUUAACUACAGAAGAAGCACAGGCUAACUCCGUGCCAGCAGCCGCGGUAAUUC
Molecule: ribosomal RNA, 405 nt
Filed under: uncultured bacterium
Lineage: Bacteria
Description: partial 16S ribosomal RNA
Rfam family: Bacterial small subunit ribosomal RNA
Source: RNAcentral